AUGAUCUACCAGCAGCAGCCACUGCAAACACCAGGUGACAUUUCCAAGGUGAUAGGCUCUGUAUGUGUAACUAAGCCCUGCCAUAGGCUGCUACCAAAGACUUUCCAGGACGCCAGUGAAGUGACCAAAGUAGAUGCUAAUGCACUGUCUCAAGGUUUGUUUGCUGGUAUCAUACAGGACCUGCUUUUGUUAUCACCUCAGAUGCAUGUGUUUUUAAUGAUAAUAUUCUGAGAUUCAGAUAUGUUUGAAUUUACAUAAACUGGACAAUGAAUGUGAUAGAUAUAACUGCCUUGUAUUCACUGCACAAUGAAAGCAUGCAUGUGGGUAGACACUACAAAGCAGUAAAUUUGCUGUAAAUCCACACUUAACCUCCCAGGUGGAACCUGUUUGCGUAGCUAUAUCUAAGGGUUGUCAUGACUUAGAAUAAUAAUAGCUAUAGUUGUUCUUUUCAUAUAUCCACAGCAUUUGUUGGUCUCUGAGCUUGCUGUAUACAUUUUUUUUCACAAUUGCUAUCUAUCUUUAAAGUUUUUCUUUCUCCUUGUACAGAAUGUGUCACAUACAAACCAGGUUGCAUUCUUUUCAUACAGUAUUGAAUUACACACCCAUGGGCAUUGUAAUAAAAUAUAUAUAUAUAUAUAUAUAUUUUUUUUU
RNAcentral lists this long non-coding RNA (651 nucleotides) under Anas platyrhynchos platyrhynchos (common mallard). RNAcentral describes it as "lncRNA (ENSAPLG00000020133.1)". The record is from RNAcentral. Lineage: Eukaryota; Metazoa; Chordata; Aves; Anseriformes; Anatidae.